GACGAACGCUGGCGGCGUGCUUAACACAUGCAAGUCGAACGGAAAGGCCCUGCUUUUGUGGGGUGCUCGAGUGGCGAACGGGUGAGUAACACGUGAGUAACCUGCCCUUGACUUUGGGAUAACUUCAGGAAACUGGGGCUAAUACCGGAUAGGAGCUCCUGCUGCAUGGUGGGGGUUGGAAAGUUUCGGCGGUUGGGGAUGGACUCGCGGCUUAUCAGCUUGUUGGUGGGGUAGUGGCUUACCAAGGCUUUGACGGGUAGCCGGCCUGAGAGGGUGACCGGCCACAUUGGGACUGAGAGACGGACCAGAAUCCUACGGGAGGCAGCAGUGGGGAAUAUUGCACAAUGGGCGGAAGCCUGAUGCAGCAACGCCGCGUGCGGGAUGACGGCCUUCGGGUUGUAAACCGCUUUCGCCUGUGACGAAGCGUGAGUGACGGUAAUGGGUAAAGAAGCACCGGCUAACUACGUG
RNAcentral lists this ribosomal RNA (468 nucleotides) under uncultured bacterium. RNAcentral describes it as "partial 16S ribosomal RNA". It matches the Rfam family "Bacterial small subunit ribosomal RNA", at positions 28 to 507 of the family's 1533-position model. The record is from RNAcentral.